Molecule: ribosomal RNA, 490 nt
Filed under: uncultured bacterium
Lineage: Bacteria
Description: partial 16S ribosomal RNA
Rfam family: Bacterial small subunit ribosomal RNA
Source: RNAcentral
AGUGAACGCUGGCGGCAGGCCUAACACAUGCAAGUCGAACGGCAGCACAAGAGAGCUUGCUCUCUGGGUGGCGAGUGGCGGACGGGUGAGGAAUGCAUCGGAAUCUGCCCAUUUGUGGGGGAUAACCUCGGGAAACCGGGACUAAUACCGCAUACGACCUACGGGUGAAAGCAGGGGAUCUUCGGACCUUGCGCAGAUGGAUGAGCCGAUGCCGGAUUAGCUAGUUGGAGGGGUAAAGGCCCACCAAGGCGACGAUCCGUAGCUGGUCCGAGAGGAGGAUCACGGCCACUGGGGCUGAGCGGCGACACUGGCUCCUACGGGAGGCCGCAGUGCCGACUAGUGGACGCAGGGGGGAAGACUGCUCCAGCCGCGCCACCUGUGUGCAGAAGCCCUGCGGGUGGUAUAGCACUUUUGUUGUUGAAGACCAGCAUCCGGUUGAUACAAGCUUGUCAUGACGGUACCCACAGAAUAAGCACCGGCUAACUACGUG